RNAcentral lists this non-coding RNA (90 nucleotides) under Salana multivorans. Its description in RNAcentral is "ZMP/ZTP riboswitch aptamer (pfl RNA motif)". It matches the Rfam family "ZMP/ZTP riboswitch aptamer (pfl RNA motif)". Rfam says of the family: Previously known as pfl RNA. ZMP is also known as AICAR. The record is from Rfam by way of RNAcentral. Lineage: Bacteria; Bacillati; Actinomycetota; Actinomycetes; Micrococcales; Beutenbergiaceae. RNAcentral also lists the same sequence under 1 other name.
UGGGCUCGUCGCGACUGGCGCCGGGUGGAACAACCACCGGGGAGCGACGAGGUACGCCGACCAACGGGGCCGCCCGCCUGGGUCCCACGG